AGUACGUGAAACUGCUUAGAGGUUAAACCCGAUGAACCUGAAUAUCCAUUAUGGAAAAUUCAUCACUAAUAAUAUAAUAUAAAUAAUAUUGUAUAAAUAGUGUGCAAUUUUUCCAUAUAAGGACAUUGUAAUCUGUUAAUGUAAUAAAUAUUUAUCAUAAGAUUCAUUACACUAAGUUUAUUCAAAUUAUUUAUUUUCGGAUAUUUAACAUAGAAUAAAUGUUUUGGAUUUGAUAAAUCAUUGACAGAUAUAAUUAUAUAAUGUGCUUAAAUUCUUUUGAAUUUUAUCAAUGGUAGAAAAUAUUUUAUUUUUUAUUUAAUUGAUAUGCACUAUUAUGAUUAACAAUGCGAGAGAUUCAGGAUACCUUCGGGACCCGUCUUGAAACACGGACCAAGGAGUCUAACAUAUGUGCAAGUCAUUGGGUAUUUUUAAUAAAACCCAAUGGCGUAAUUAACUUAACUGAUUUAAUGGGAUUAGUUUAUAUUUUGUUAUGAAAUAUUAAUUCAAUCCCGGGGCGUUCUAUAUAGUUAUGUAUAAUAGUAUUUAUAUUAUUUAUACCUCUAACUUGAGC
RNAcentral lists this ribosomal RNA (571 nucleotides) under Scaeva caucasica. RNAcentral's name for it is "eukaryotic LSU rRNA". The record is from RNAcentral. Lineage: Eukaryota; Metazoa; Arthropoda; Insecta; Diptera; Syrphidae.